Molecule: non-coding RNA, 23 nt
Filed under: Arabidopsis thaliana (thale cress)
Lineage: Eukaryota; Viridiplantae; Streptophyta; Magnoliopsida; Brassicales; Brassicaceae
Source: RNAcentral
GAAAUCGUUAAUGACCAUGGUUA